ACUGGCCCCUUAGGGGAGGACCUCCCUUUGGGAAGGCCUCUGUUGAAUUUGUCUGGCAAAGAGAAACAACUUCCUGAGCUGCCUGUUUGAUAACCCUUCAACACAGCUAAAUGAUGUCUU
This is a non-coding RNA of Loxodonta africana (African savanna elephant), 120 nucleotides long. The record is from Rfam. NCBI's taxonomy places the organism in Eukaryota, Metazoa, Chordata, Mammalia, Proboscidea, Elephantidae.